AAAAGAACCCCGGCGAGGGGAGUGAAAAAGAACCUGAAACCGUGUACGUACAAGCAGUGGGAGCACGCUUAGGCGUGUGACUGCGUACCUUUUGUAUAAUGGGUCAGCGACUUAUAUUCUGUAGCAAGGUUAACCGAAUAGGGGAGCCGAAGGGAAACCGAGUCUUAACUGGGCGUUAAGUUGCAGGGUAUAGACCCGAAACCCGGUGAUCUAGCCAUGGGCAGGUUGAAGGUUGGGUAACACUAACUGGAGGACCGAACCGACUAAUGUUGAAAAAUUAGCGGAUGACUUGUGGCUGGGGGUGAAAGGCCAAUCAAACCGGGAGAUAGCUGGUUCUCCCCGAAAGCUAUUUAGGUAGCGCCUCGUGAAUUCAUCUCCGGGGGUAGAGCACUGUUUCGGCAAGGGGGUCAUCCCGACUUACCAACCCGAUGCAAACUGCGAAUACCGGAGAAUGUUAUCACGGGAGACACACGGCGGGUGCUAACGUCCGUCGUGAAGAGGGAAACAACCCAGACCGCCAGCUAAGGUCCCAAAGUCAUGGUUAAGUGGGAAACGAUGUGGGAAGGCCCAGACAGCCAGGAUGUUGGCUUAGAAGCAGCCAUCAUUUAAAGAAAGCGUAAUAGCUCACUGGUCGAGUCGGCCUGCGCGGAAGAUGUAACGGGGCUAAACCAUGCACCGAAGCUGCGGCAGCGACGCUGAUGCGUUGUUGGGUAGGGGAGCGUUCUGUAAGCCUGCGAAGGUGUGCUGUGAGGCAUGCUGGAGGUAUCAGAAGUGCGAAUGCUGACAUAAGUAACGAUAAAGCGGGUGAAAAGCCCGCUCGCCGGAAGACCAAGGGUUCCUGUCCAACGUUAAUCGGGGCAGGGUGAGUCGACCCCUAAGGCGAGGCCGAAAGGCGUAGUCGAUGGGAAACAGGUUAAUAUUCCUGUACUUGGUGUUACUGCGAAGGGGGGACGGAGAAGGCUAUGUUGGCCGGGCGACGGUUGUCCCGGUUUAAGCGUGUAGGCUGGUUUUCCAGGCAAAUCCGGAAAAUCAAGGCUGAGGCGUGAUGACGAGGCACUACGGUGCUGAAGCAACAAAUGCCCUGCUUCCAGGAAAAGCCUCUAAGCAUCAGGUAACAUCAAAUCGUACCCCAAACCGACACAGGUGGUCAGGUAGAGAAUACCAAGGCGCUUGAGAGAACUCGGGUGAAGGAACUAGGCAAAAUGGUGCCGUAACUUCGGGAGAAGGCACGCUGAUAUGUAGGUGAAGUCCCUCGCGGAUGGAGCUGAAAUCAGUCGAAGAUACCAGCUGGCUGCAACUGUUUAUUAAAAACACAGCACUGUGCAAACACGAAAGUGGACGUAUACGGUGUGACGCCUGCCCGGUGCCGGAAGGUUAAUUGAUGGGGUUAGCGCAAGCGAAGCUCUUGAUCGAAGCCCCGGUAAACGGCGGCCGUAACUAUAACGGUCCUAAGGUAGCGAAAUUCCUUGUCGGGUAAGUUCCGACCUGCACGAAUGGCGUAAUGAUGGCCAGGCUGUCUCCACCCGAGACUCAGUGAAAUUGAACUCGCUGUGAAGAUGCAGUGUACCCGCGGCAAGACGGAAAGACCCCGUGAACCUUUACUAUAGCUUGACACUGAACAUUGAGCCUUGAUGUGUAGGAUAGGUGGGAGGCUUUGAAGUGUGGACGCCAGUCUGCAUGGAGCCGACCUUGAAAUACCACCCUUUAAUGUUUGAUGUUCUAACGUUGACCCGUAAUCCGGGUUGCGGACAGUGUCUGGUGGGUAGUUUGACUGGGGCGGUCUCCUCCUAAAGAGUAACGGAGGAGCACGAAGGUUGGCUAAUCCUGGUCGGACAUCAGGAGGUUAGUGCAAUGGCAUAAGCCAGCUUGACUGCGAGCGUGACGGCGCGAGCAGGUGCGAAAGCAGGUCAUAGUGAUCCGGUGGUUCUGAAUGGAAGGGCCAUCGCUCAACGGAUAAAAGGUACUCCGGGGAUAACAGGCUGAUACCGCCCAAGAGUUCAUAUCGACGGCGGUGUUUGGCACCUCGAUGUCGGCUCAUCACAUCCUGGGGCUGAAGUAGGUCCCAAGGGUAUGGCUGUUCGCCAUUUAAAGUGGUACGCGAGCUGGGUUUAGAACGUCGUGAGACAGUUCGGUCCCUAUCUGCCGUGGGCGCUGGAGAACUGAGGGGGGCUGCUCCUAGUACGAGAGGACCGGAGUGGACGCAUCACUGGUGUUCGG
Molecule: ribosomal RNA, 2217 nt
Filed under: Escherichia coli
Lineage: Bacteria; Pseudomonadati; Pseudomonadota; Gammaproteobacteria; Enterobacterales; Enterobacteriaceae
Description: partial 23S ribosomal RNA
Rfam family: Bacterial large subunit ribosomal RNA
Source: RNAcentral